CAGUAUUCAAUCCUACACGUUAUUGUACUACAGUACAGUAGGUGGCGGUAUACUGUAGUGUGCUGUUCAUGUCCGCAUCGUCAUACGCGCCAGCACCGCUGAAAGACUGCAGGAACAGAAACCCCUGGAAAGAUGAGUUCCCUAUUAAAGAGAGGCUUGAUGCUGUUUACUACACACUCUUAGGCUGAUUUUGGAUUAUUUGUCUGUGAAGACACAGUAGUUCAGUUUCUGAAUCCCAUCAAGAAUGAAGACCUGCAGGCCACCAUAUUGAGCUGGUCUGAUGUCAUGAUAUGGCGCUUUUCCAAUGUAGGGUACAACUUGGCUCGGCACGAUGCAGCUCAGCUCGCUUUCGUUGCUUUUCCAGUACAGUUUAGUAUCGCUUCAGAGUGGGUGAGAUUAUAGGCAGGGGUGCACAUAAGGGUGUGUAUGCGCGAUUAGAAACAAUUCCAGCGUACCAACGUCGCUGGAAUUUUGUUACAUAGUUAGCUAAUUUACUGCGACAUCUCGAUCACUCCCCAGUGACUGGUCCCAGUAUAGGUCAUAAACCCCGCCUCCCCCAUGUUAUUCAAUGGGACUUGAGACCUGUUAGAUACAAAAUAAACUUCAGUAUGUAAAACGUUUUCUCUUUAUUUAUCCACCGAUAACAUCCGCUCCAACACGAGCACUAAAACAACAACCGGCUUUCCGCCCGGGCUUCAUAAUAAGAGUCACCUUUUAGCUUCCGUAAAAGGUCAUGUGAAAUAAUAAACAAUAUUUAGCAUAAAGCUAUAAUAUACAUAAACACAUUUUUAAUGUCUUAAACUUAACAAGACCAACUAAACAAUUAAAUUACACUUCAAUUAUCUUUUUUCCGAAGCUUGUUUUUGUCAUUUACUGUAGGUUUUAUCAUGCUGAUGUAAAUUCAAGUGUUUGUUUUUAAAAUAAGUUUGUUUUUAGUUAGUUAGUUAAUGCUAUAAAAACGGUGGUGUCACGUCAUGAUUGACAGCUGUGUAUGCACAUUCUGGGAGAGUGAGGGCGGGGCCUUGAUUUCGCGGCUUUACUUCCUGCUCACUACUGCACAGGACUGGUCCCGAAAUUGCUACUGCGCAGACUCAAAACCCAAGAUGUCAGCGGCGACACUGGCGGCUUCACUUUUCACCAAUGGAAGAGAGCAAGCUCUCCAGGUGCUCCUUUUAGAACCAGGACAAAAAAAAGUUAUGUGCACCCCUGAUUAUAGGCUUAUUGUUACAGUUGCGUCCCCUCUACUGCCGUAACAUCAUCGUAAAUGCGAUACAAACACACACACACACAACAUGGAGCAACAGAGCAUAUUAAUGGAAUGUAGCCACAAAAUCAAAAUUGACAGCCACAACUACAUUUUCCACUACCUCUCUCACAUGACAGGUUCUGUACAAACACCCAUGUCAUCAGUACCUGCACUAUGCGGACAGAACAUUUAAGCCAUGACGCCUAUAUUUUUGGUGCGUUUUGGAUGCGGAGCCAUGCGCAAAGUUACAAAAAUGCCAUGCAGACAUAGGCAUGGUGGUGUGCUCUGCAUUUUUGUAACUUUACACAUGACUUCACAUCCGAAACCCAUUACUCCUCACCCAAAAGUGAGCUGUGCUGAACUGGGUCAUACUAUGCAGUGGAAAGGCGCCAAAAGUGUCCUACUUCGUGGCUUGAAGGAUUUAGCAGUUUCAGCGUUGGACUUGUAAUUCUGCGUGUUUGGCCUCUUUAGCACUUGCUGUUUGAAAGUCAUUGCUUGCAACAGAUUGAGCGACUGUCAUUCUGCAUUUCUGUUUGCAUUGUGCUUCAUAUAUGAGAAAGACAACGCUUGAAGAACCACACAACACUCAUAUUAAUGUAUGUGUCAUAUUAAUAAAAAUAAACAAGUCUUUGCACUUCAUUUAUAUUUAAUCGAGUGAUAUGUAACUUCACAAUGGUGGAUUCUUUAACUAUUACAUGAAUAUGUGCAUUGUGAUUUCGAUUUAUUGACCAUAGUUAUGUCUUAGGAAUAGUGGGGAAAAUCAUUUACUAAAAAAGACAAGGUGCCAGAUCUUUCAUUUACUUAAAUGCAAUAAAAUUAUAGUACAAUUGUAAGCAGCUUUAAUGGAAUCUAUGUAAUAUAGUCAGUAAAGGGUCGAUAUAAAGGCCACGUUUUUAGCAUAUAGUUUAUAAAUUAAGAAAAAAAUUCUUAAUAUUAGAUACUAUAAAUUACGAUUUUCAUUAGUAAAGCCAUACAGCAUUUUUACUUUAAUGUUGCAUAAAAGGGUAACUCUAAGUGUAACUUUCUGCCUUAUGGUUAAAUGUGUAGUAUGGGUUUAUAUUAAAGCUUCGAGUGGUUUCACGUCCCCGGAAGGUCCGCCAGCGAACGUUGUCUAGCGGACCAUAUGCGGACGUCACCGGAAUGUCCGCCAGCGAACGUUAUUUAGCGGACCUUAUGCGGACGUUCCCGGAAGGUCCGCCAGCGAACGUUAUUUAGCGGACCAUAUGCGGACGUCCCCGCAAGGUCCGCCAGCGAACGUUAUUUAGCGGACCAUAUGAGGACGUCCCCGGAAGGUCCGCCAGCGAACGUUACAAUGCGGACCAAUUGAGGACCUUUUGCGGACCUAAGAGGACAUUCGCGACGUCCGGGGGACGUCCCCUGUUUGCUGGGGACGU
Molecule: non-coding RNA, 2640 nt
Organism: Misgurnus anguillicaudatus (oriental weatherfish)
Lineage: Eukaryota; Metazoa; Chordata; Actinopteri; Cypriniformes; Cobitidae
Source: RefSeq, a predicted model, not a curated record